GACGAACGCUGGCGGCGUGCCUAAUACAUGCAAGUCGAGCGAAGUUUUUCUGGUGCUUGCACUAGAAAAACUUAGCGGCGAACGGGUGAGUAACACGUAAAGAACCUGCCUCAUAGACUGGGACAACUAUUGGAAACGAUAGCUAAUACCGGAUGACAGUAUUUCUCGCAUGAGAGAUAUUUAAAAGUUGGUUAUGCUAACACUAUGAGAUGGCUUUGCGGUGCAUUAGCUAGUUGGUGGGGUAAAGGCCCACCAAGGCGACGAUGCAUAGCCGACCUGAGAGGGUGAUCGGCCACACUGGGACUGAGACACGGCCCAGACUCCUACGGGAGGCAGCAGUAGGGAAUCUUCCGCAAUGGGCGAAAGCCUGACGGAGCAACGCCGCGUGAGUGAAGAAGGAUUUCGGUUCGUAAAGCUCUGUUGUUAGGGAAGAAUGGAUAUGUAGUAACUAUACAUGUAAGAGACGGUACCUAACCAGAAAGCCACGGCUAACUACGUG
RNAcentral lists this ribosomal RNA (499 nucleotides) under uncultured bacterium. RNAcentral describes it as "partial 16S ribosomal RNA". It matches the Rfam family "Bacterial small subunit ribosomal RNA", at positions 28 to 507 of the family's 1533-position model. The record is from RNAcentral.